Molecule: unclassified non-coding RNA, 220 nt
Filed under: Phylloporus sp.
Lineage: Eukaryota; Fungi; Basidiomycota; Agaricomycetes; Boletales; Boletaceae
Description: partial contains small subunit ribosomal RNA, internal transcribed spacer 1, and 5.8S ribosomal RNA
Rfam family: Eukaryotic small subunit ribosomal RNA (bases 1-46)
Source: RNAcentral
AAGUCGUAACAAGGUUUCCGUAGGUGAACCUGCGGAAGGAUCAUUAAUAAUGAACAAAGAGUGGCCAUUCUAGCCGUUAAACGCUGGUUUGGUUGCUUUUUUAACUUGUGAACUGGUGAAUUGAGGCUUUGGCCUUGAUUCAUGCAUCUUGUACUUUAGUGAUUAUUUAUAUAAAAGUUAAAAUCUAUGACAACUUUCAGCAAUGGAUCUCUUGGCUCUU